This is a long non-coding RNA of Apodemus sylvaticus (European woodmouse), 800 nucleotides long. RefSeq lists it as uncharacterized. Lineage: Eukaryota; Metazoa; Chordata; Mammalia; Rodentia; Muridae. The record is from RefSeq and is a predicted model, not a curated record. The transcript has 6 exons.
CACACCUUCAGAGUGAUCCAGAAUCAAGAGAUCCAGAAUCUGUGGAGUGGAGCAAACACUGGCCAGAGUGCCUGUUUGGGAAUUAAAACCAUAAAAUACUCAGACUAUGAUCUAGCACUGCAUGAAGAUUCUCUGAGACAGAAUUCCACUCCCAAGGAUCAGACAGUGUCCUUCAGGUCUGCCAUUACCCUCUGACCUCAGUGAGAGGAUGAAGGAGACCAGGAUUUAUUCGAUCUACGACCAUGUCUGGACCUCUUUCUUGGAUUCACAAAGCUUAUGCAACCAGCUCCAGGAGACCUUACCAUACAGAAGAAUUAAGAAAGUGAUCAGGCCAUCAAGUAUCUUCACUGACAAAAUCAAGACUUCAAGGGAAAAAUGUGGAGCUACACUCCACAAAAGAAAACCAAGACCAUUGUUUUCAGCCUUCUUGGGAGCCUGAGAGGAUUUGACCAGUCGAGGAAUGAUUGAAAUCAAUCAGUGGAAAACAGUCUAGAUUGAAGCAUCUACACUUUGGUCUUCCUUCUUCUUAAGCUCCAUAUGGAGCCAUACUAAUGUAAGUGAGUUUCCAUGGGAGGCUGCCAUGCCCUGUUUCACAUGACUGCUGUAACUCCUGCCUGGACAACAGAUAUCCAGGCUGCAGGGUCCUAGUGAGAACUCACCUCCAUGCUAAAAGGUACAAGAAGAGUCUUGCCUGCCUGCAUGCUCUGCAGAGAUGCAUUCAGUUUUCUGUGGUGCUGGGGCCUCAACUUCUCUGGGAACUACAACCCAUGAUGUGUACUCUGUGUCUCUGUCAGUUUAUG